UUAAGCGACUAAGCGUACACGGUGGAUGCCCUGGCAGUCAGAGGCGAUGAAGGACGUGCUAAUCUGCGAUAAGCGUCGGUAAGGUGAUAUGAACCGUUAUAACCGGCGAUUUCCGAAUGGGGAAACCCAGUGUGUUUCGACACACUAUCAUUAACUGAAUCCAUAGGUUAAUGAGGCGAACCGGGGGAACUGAAACAUCUAAGUACCCCGAGGAAAAGAAAUCAACCGAGAUUCCCCCAGUAGCGGCGAGCGAACGGGGAGCAGCCCAGAGCCUGAAUCAGUGUGUGUGUUAGUGGAAGCGUCUGGAAAGGCGCGCGAUACAGGGUGACAGCCCCGUACACAAAAAUGCACAUGCUGUGAGCUCGAUGAGUAGGGCGGGACACGUGGUAUCCUGUCUGAAUAUGGGGGGACCAUCCUCCAAGGCUAAAUACUCCUGACUGACCGAUAGUGAACCAGUACCGUGAGGGAAAGGCGAAAAGAACCCCGGCGAGGGGAGUGAAAAAGAACCUGAAACCGUGUACGUACAAGCAGUGGGAGCACAGAGCAAUCUGUGUGACUGCGUACCUUUUGUAUAAUGGGUCAGCGACUUAUAUUCUGUAGCAAGGUUAACCGAAUAGGGGAGCCGAAGGGAAACCGAGUCUUAACUGGGCGUUAAGUUGCAGGGUAUAGACCCGAAACCCGGUGAUCUAGCCAUGGGCAGGUUGAAGGUUGGGUAACACUAACUGGAGGACCGAACCGACUAAUGUUGAAAAAUUAGCGGAUGACUUGUGGCUGGGGGUGAAAGGCCAAUCAAACCGGGAGAUAGCUGGUUCUCCCCGAAAGCUAUUUAGGUAGCGCCUCGUGAAUUCAUCUCCGGGGGUAGAGCACUGUUUCGGCAAGGGGGUCAUCCCGACUUACCAACCCGAUGCAAACUGCGAAUACCGGAGAAUGUUAUCACGGGAGACACACGGCGGGUGCUAACGUCCGUCGUGAAGAGGGAAACAACCCAGACCGCCAGCUAAGGUCCCAAAGUCAUGGUUAAGUGGGAAACGAUGUGGGAAGGCCCAGACAGCCAGGAUGUUGGCUUAGAAGCAGCCAUCAUUUAAAGAAAGCGUAAUAGCUCACUGGUCGAGUCGGCCUGCGCGGAAGAUGUAACGGGGCUAAACCAUGCACCGAAGCUGCGGCAGCGACGCUUAUGCGUUGUUGGGUAGGGGAGCGUUCUGUAAGCCUGCGAAGGUGUGCUGUGAGGCAUGCUGGAGGUAUCAGAAGUGCGAAUGCUGACAUAAGUAACGAUAAAGCGGGUGAAAAGCCCGCUCGCCGGAAGACCAAGGGUUCCUGUCCAACGUUAAUCGGGGCAGGGUGAGUCGACCCCUAAGGCGAGGCCGAAAGGCGUAGUCGAUGGGAAACAGGUUAAUAUUCCUGUACUUGGUGUUACUGCGAAGGGGGGACGGAGAAGGCUAUGUUGGCCGGGCGACGGUUGUCCCGGUUUAAGCGUGUAGGCUGGUUUUCCAGGCAAAUCCGGAAAAUCAAGGCUGAGGCGUGAUGACGAGGCACUACGGUGCUGAAGCAACAAAUGCCCUGCUUCCAGGAAAAGCCUCUAAGCAUCAGGUAACAUCAAAUCGUACCCCAAACCGACACAGGUGGUCAGGUAGAGAAUACCAAGGCGCUUGAGAGAACUCGGGUGAAGGAACUAGGCAAAAUGGUGCCGUAACUUCGGGAGAAGGCACGCUGAUAUGUAGGUGAGGUCCCUCGCGGAUGGAGCUGAAAUCAGUCGAAGAUACCAGCUGGCUGCAACUGUUUAUUAAAAACACAGCACUGUGCAAACACGAAAGUGGACGUAUACGGUGUGACGCCUGCCCGGUGCCGGAAGGUUAAUUGAUGGGGUUAGCGGUAACGCGAAGCUCUUGAUCGAAGCCCCGGUAAACGGCGGCCGUAACUAUAACGGUCCUAAGGUAGCGAAAUUCCUUGUCGGGUAAGUUCCGACCUGCACGAAUGGCGUAAUGAUGGCCAGGCUGUCUCCACCCGAGACUCAGUGAAAUUGAACUCGCUGUGAAGAUGCAGUGUACCCGCGGCAAGACGGAAAGACCCCGUGAACCUUUACUAUAGCUUGACACUGAACAUUGAGCCUUGAUGUGUAGGAUAGGUGGGAGGCUUAGAAGUGUGGACGCCAGUCUGCAUGGAGCCG
Molecule: ribosomal RNA, 2164 nt
Filed under: Escherichia coli MS 187-1
Lineage: Bacteria; Pseudomonadati; Pseudomonadota; Gammaproteobacteria; Enterobacterales; Enterobacteriaceae
Description: bacterial LSU rRNA
Rfam family: Bacterial large subunit ribosomal RNA
Source: RNAcentral